Molecule: unclassified non-coding RNA, 951 nt
Filed under: Hevea brasiliensis (rubber tree)
Lineage: Eukaryota; Viridiplantae; Streptophyta; Magnoliopsida; Malpighiales; Euphorbiaceae
Source: RNAcentral
UGAAAUUAUGAACUACCACGAUCUUUAUAGAUAAGGCAGACAUUCCAAACAAAAAUCUUCCAAUUGCUCCAUAUUAAAUUUAGGAUUGCCAUUAUAAGGUACUUCUAAGUUUAAUAUCUGUAACCCCUAAAAUGAUACUGUUCCCUGUAAUGGUCAAAAGAAAAAACAGGGUUCAAGCCCAAAUGCAAUGCAAAUGCAUCAUCCAAAAAAUUUAACUGGCAGAAAAAUUGUCCUUCAAAUGCUCUGUUGGUAAUCAUAUCAUCAACAACAGAAAGAAGAUUAGAUUCUCGCAGACCCCUUGCCAUUUUGUUGAAGCAUGUAUUCUUUCUUCAUCUCUUCCAAGACAGCAUCAUUUGUGCUACAAUAAAUAAAUAAUAAAAAAAAACACUAGUAAUUUAGAUACACGAAGUUCAAAUAGUUCACAACUAUGUGAUGGACCAUUGUGUUCCCUAUGGUAACAUAUUUUGGCUUUGAUGGUACUUUAAUGAAACUUUAACAAAUUGGACUAAGUUAUAAAGUAGGAACCCAAAAAGUAGGUCACUUCAGAAUGCUAAUGAAAACAUACAGAUAUCCGAUGCAAUACAACCAUCUAUCCUAUUGUUCAUGAUAGACACAUGAAUGCAUCUCUUUCCAGAUUUAUGUGAAAGGGCAUUCACUUCUUUUCAGGCCUUUAUCAUUUACAAGGAUAUAUAUAGAAAAAGGGUGCCAUACCAGUUUUUUUUUAAUCAAAAUUUAGGUAGUUGACAUACAUUAACAAGACUAAAACACAUCAGCUGCUCUUUGUACUCUUAUAAUUCCCUUCCAGGUUUUCCUGGGGUUAAGAAAUUUUCUAUGCUCAUAAAAGAAAAGGCAACAAUUUUAUAUUGGCAAGUCAGCAACACAUUUAUGUCCUUGGACUUACCUGAAAGGGAAAAGAGCUAAAUUGGAGAAAAAUGAAGAGUCAUGUUUGCA